Molecule: ribosomal RNA, 253 nt
Filed under: uncultured bacterium
Lineage: Bacteria
Description: partial 16S ribosomal RNA
Rfam family: Bacterial small subunit ribosomal RNA
Source: RNAcentral
UACGUAGGGCGCAAGCGUUAUCCGGAAUUACUGGGCGUAAAGGGCUCGUAGGCGGCCAACUAAGUCAGACGUGAAAUCCCUCGGCUUAACCGGGGAACUGCAUCUGAUACUGGAUGGCUUGAGUUCGGGAGAGGGAUGCGGAAUUCCAGGUGUAGCGGUGAAAUGCGUAGAUAUCUGGAGGAACACCGGUGGCGAAGGCGGCAUCCUGGACCGACACUGACGCUGAGGAGCGAAAGCGUGGGGAGCAAACAGG